AUACGGAGGGUGCGAGCGUUAAUCGGAAUUACUGGGCGUAAAGCGUACGUAGGCGGUUGGUUAAGUUAGAUGUGAAAGCCCCGGGCUUAACCUGGGAACUGCAUUUAAAACUGGCGAACUCGAGUUGAGUAGAGGGGAGUGGAAUUUCAGGUGUAGCGGUGAAAUGCGUAGAGAUCUGAAGGAACACCAGUGGCGAAGGCGACUCCCUGGACUCGAACUGACGCUGAGGUACGAAAGCGUGGGUAGCAAACAGGAUUAGAAACCCCAGUAGUCC
This 274-nucleotide ribosomal RNA is filed under the name uncultured bacterium. RNAcentral's name for it is "partial 16S ribosomal RNA". It matches the Rfam family "Bacterial small subunit ribosomal RNA", at positions 523 to 796 of the family's 1533-position model. The record is from RNAcentral.